UACCUUAAGCAUAUCAAUAAGCGGAGGAAAAGAAACCAACAGGGAUUGCCUCAGUAACGGCGAGUGAAGCGGCAAAAGCUCAAAUUUGAAAUCUGGCUCUUUCAGGGUCCGAGUUGUAAUUUGUAGAAGAUGUUUCGGGUGUGGUCCCAGUCUAAGUUCCCUGGAACUGGACAUCACAGAGGGUGAGAAUCCCGUAUGUGACUGGGUACCUACGUCCAUGUGAAACUCUUUCGACGAGUCGAGUUGUUUGGGAAUGCAGCUCAAAAUGGGUGGUAAAUUUCAUCUAAAGCUAAAUAUUGGCCAGAGACCGAUAGCGCACAAGUAGAGUGAUCGAAAGAUGAAAAGCACUUUGGAAAGAGAGUUAAACAGUACGUGAAAUUGUUGAAAGGGAAGGGCAUGCAAUCAGACUUGCGCCUAGUUGAUCAUCCGGGCUUUUGCCCGGUGCACUCGAUUAGGCUCAGGCCAGCAUCAGUUUAGAGGGUUGGAUAAAGGCCUUGGGAAUGUGGCCCCUCUCGGGGGGUGUUAUAGCCCAAGGUGCAAUGCAGCCACUCUGGACUGAGGACCGCGCUUCGGCUAGGAUGCUGGCGUAAUGGUUGUAUGCCGCCCGUCUUGAAACACGGACCAAGGAGUCUAACAUCUAUGCGAGUAUUUGGGUGUUAAACCCAUAUGCGUAAUGAAAGUGAACGGAGGUGAGAGCCCUUAAGGGUGCAUCAUCGACCGAUCCUGAUGUCUUCGGAUGGAUUUGAGUAAGAGCAUAGCUGUUGGGACCCGAAAGAUGGUGAACUAUGCGUGAAUAGGGUGAAGCCAGAGGAAACUCUGGUGGAGGCUCGCAGCGGUUCUGACGUGCAAAUCGAUCGUCAAAUUUGCGUAUAGGGGCGAAAGACUAAUCGAACCAUCUAGUAGCUGGUUCCUGCCGAAGUUUCCCUCAGGA
RNAcentral lists this ribosomal RNA (931 nucleotides) under Lambertella corni-maris. Its description in RNAcentral is "eukaryotic LSU rRNA". It matches the Rfam family "Eukaryotic large subunit ribosomal RNA", at positions 30 to 978 of the family's 3401-position model. The record is from RNAcentral. Lineage: Eukaryota; Fungi; Ascomycota; Leotiomycetes; Helotiales; Rutstroemiaceae.